Molecule: ribosomal RNA, 453 nt
Filed under: uncultured Prevotellaceae bacterium
Lineage: Bacteria; Pseudomonadati; Bacteroidota; Bacteroidia; Bacteroidales; Prevotellaceae
Description: bacterial SSU rRNA
Rfam family: Bacterial small subunit ribosomal RNA
Source: RNAcentral
ACGGAAGGCAGCAGUGAGGAAUAUUGGUCAAUGGGCGAGAGCCUGAACCAGCCAAGUAGCGUGAAGGAUGACUGCCCUACGGGUUGUAAACUUCUUUUAUACGGGAAUAAAAAAGGCCACGCGUGGCCUCUUGCAUGUACCGUAUGAAUAAGCAUCGGCUAAUUCUGUGCCAGCAGCCGCGGUAAUACGGAAGAUGCGAGCGUUAUCCGGAUUUAUUGGGUUUAAAGGGAGCGUAGGCGGGUCUUUAAGUCAGUGGUCAAAGCGUGUGGCUCAACCAUACCACGCCAUUGAUACUGGAGACCUUGAGUGCACUUAAGGAUGGUGGAAUUCGUCGUGUAGCGGUGAAAUGCUUAGAUAUGACGAAGAACUCCGAUUGCGAAGGCAGCUGUCCGGGGUGUAACUGACGCUAAUGCUCGAAAGCUAGGGGAGCGAACAGGAUUAGAUACCCUGGUA